AAUCAACGCUGGCGGCGUGCCUAACACAUGCAAGUCGAACGAGAAAGCGGGGGCAACCCUGUGAGUAAAGUGGCAGACGGGUGAGUAACACGUGAACAACCUACCCUCGAGUGGGGAAUAACACCGCGAAAGCGGUGCUAAUACCGCAUAACAUCUUCGGAUCGCAUGAUCUGAAGAUCAAAAGCGCAAGUUGCUUGAGGAGGGGUUCGCGCCUGAUUAGCUAGUUGGAGAGGUAAUGGCUCACCAAGGCAACGAUCAGUAGCCGACCUGAGAGGGUGAUCGGCCACAUUGGAACUGAGACACGGUCCAAACUCCUACGGGAGGCUG
RNAcentral lists this ribosomal RNA (327 nucleotides) under uncultured Acidobacteriota bacterium. Its description in RNAcentral is "bacterial SSU rRNA". It matches the Rfam family "Bacterial small subunit ribosomal RNA", at positions 32 to 351 of the family's 1533-position model. The record is from RNAcentral. Lineage: Bacteria; Pseudomonadati; Acidobacteriota.